GGGGAAUAUUGCACAAUGGGGGAAACCCUGAUGCAGCGACGCCGCGUGGAGGAAGAAGGUCUUCGGAUUGUAAACUCCUGUUGUUGAGGAAGAUAAUGACGGUACUCAACAAGGAAGUGACGGCUAACUACGUGCCAGCAGCCGCGGUAAAACGUAGGUCACAAGCGUUGUCCGGAAUUACUGGGUGUAAAGGGAGCGCAGGCGGGAAGACAAGUUGGAAGUGAAAUCUAUGGGCUCAACCCAUAAACUGCUUUCAAAACUGUUUUUCUUGAGUAGUGCAGAGGUAGGCGGAAUUCCCGGUGUAGCGGUGGAAUGCGUAGAUAUCGGGAGGAACACCAGUGGCGAAGGCGGCCUACUGGGCACCAACUGACGCUGAGGCUCGAAAGUGUGGGUAGCAAACAGGAUUAGAUACCCUGGUAGUCCACACUGUAAACGAUGAUUACUAGGUGUUGGAGGAUUGACCCCUUCAGUGCCGCAGUUAACACAAUAAGUAAUCCACCUGGGGAGUACGACCGCAAGGUUGAAACUCAAAGGAAUUGACGGGGGCCCGCACAAGCAGUGGAGUAUGUGGUUUAAUUCGACGCAACGCGAAGAACCUUACCAAGUCUUGACAUCCUGCGACGGUGCUGGAAACAGUACUUUCCUUCGGGACGCAGAGACAGGUGGUGCAUGGUUGUCGUCAGCUCGUGUCGUGAGAUGUUGGGUUAAGUCCCGCAACGAGCGCAACCCUUAUGGUCAGUUACUACGCAAGAGGACUCUGGCCAGACUGCCGUUGACAAAACGGAGGAAGGUGGGGAUGACGUCAAAUCAUCAUGCCCUUUAUGACUUGGGCUACACACGUACUACAAUGGCGUUAAACAAAGAGAAGCAAGACCGCGAGGUGGAGCAAAACUCAGAAACAACGUCCCAGUUCGGACUGCAGGCUGCAACUCGCCUGCACGAAGUCGGAAUUGCUAGUAAUCGCAGAUCAGCAUGCUGCGGUGAAUACGUUCCCG
This 995-nucleotide ribosomal RNA is filed under the name uncultured bacterium. Its description in RNAcentral is "bacterial SSU rRNA". It matches the Rfam family "Bacterial small subunit ribosomal RNA", at positions 356 to 1376 of the family's 1533-position model. The record is from RNAcentral.